Molecule: non-coding RNA, 447 nt
Organism: Triticum urartu
Lineage: Eukaryota; Viridiplantae; Streptophyta; Magnoliopsida; Poales; Poaceae
Source: RefSeq, a predicted model, not a curated record
CAGCCUGACACGAAGGCGGCGCUGGCCAUCGACUACUGCUGCAACGUCACUGCCGCCGCCGGUGACCGCGGACCGCCAACGCCGAGCAAGAUGGUGGAGUGCAGGAUCUGCCAGGAGCAGGACUGGGACUCCAGCAUGGAAGCCCCCUGCUCCUGCCACGACAGCCUCAAGGCUGACAAGGACACUGACGAGGUCUACGCAUAGAUGACUCUGCAACCAAUAAACUCUGUGUUGUGUGUUCUGGAAGACGGAAGAGGAAGAAAACUUAUUUUUGUUGAACUAAAUUUUAUGUAUUCUGUUUUGUUGUACGUAUCAUUUGAUACUUUUGUAUAGGAACAAGUGAUACUAUUUUGUAGGGCUUUAUGGCCUGUGAUGUAAAGAUAUUUAGUGCUGAAAUAUGAAAUUAUUUGCAAAAUUUGUCGAAAAGGAGGAUCAUUUGUACGAAUA